GCCUAAUAGUACGGCUAUCAAGCGCUCUAAUAAAAAUACACAAAACAAAAAAUUCCAAGUGGUGCCAAAAAUAUGAGGUUUUUAAAAAAAAUACAUAUUUAUUGACCUUACUCUACUUUCAUGUACACCACGGCCGCAAAUUAAUGAAAUUUGUUGUGUUUUUGCACUUGCGUUGCUUCUGCAUUCACCAUAAAUAAAGUGCAUGUUUGCGUAUUCUUGUGCCGUAUAUUGAAUACGUGGCAUCUUAAUAAACAAUACCAGUCUAGAUACAAGCCAAGUCGUCGUAAAAUCAC
This 293-nucleotide unclassified non-coding RNA is filed under the name Melitaea cinxia (Glanville fritillary). RNAcentral describes it as "misc RNA ENSMCXG00005000970.1". The record is from RNAcentral. Lineage: Eukaryota; Metazoa; Arthropoda; Insecta; Lepidoptera; Nymphalidae.